CCUGUGCUGCCUUUCUUUGGCAAAGACUUGGCUCAGUUGAUUAAGAGUCUACUGAGACGCUGUGUCAAGAGAGAGGUCCUGCAAGACAUCACUCCCCUUCAACUCACCAAGCUGGAUCUGGCUGAUAAGAACUUGUUCCUCCUCCCACAGAGGAUCGACAUUGGUUUGGGUGCUGAGGCAGCUCUCAAGGGGAGGCCAUUGUCCAACAAUUUGAAUCUUUCCUGUCCGUUGAGGCAAGGAAUGAAGAAUUUCUCGACUUCCAGCCAUUUGAGAAACGCCUAGACACCUUCCUGCAUGGGAGAUUAAGCCGGCCUUACCCAGCUGCUUGGGAUUUUUGCCAGAAGUUGCUGCUGCUUUCACAUGGCCAGGCCUCUGUUGAAAGGGGCUUUCCUGUCAACAAGGAGGUGGAGUCUGAGAACAUGCAAGAGGACACAAUUGUCACACACAGGCUCAUAUGUGACUAUGUUGCAAUGCAUGGGGGUGUCACACAGGUUCCCCUCACCAAGGAACUCAUGGCAGCUGUAGGUGCUGCCCGGUCAAAAUACAGACUCUUUCUGGACCAGGAGCGAACCAGAAAAGAAAAGGCAUCCCAGAGCCAGAAAAGAAAGCAAACUGAGGAAUCUUUGGAGGACCUUAAGAAAAGAAAAACAAGCUUGGAGGAGGUGUCUGUCUGUCUUGCCAGGGAUGCAGAUGCCCUUGCAGAAGAAGCCGAGGGCAAGGCUGGCUCCAAAAUGGCUCAGCUUCUCUCAAAGUCAAAUGCCCUGAGACGGGCGUACAAAGAAAAACUUGCCCAACUCAAAAGUGUUGAAACUGAGAUUGAUGCUAAGAGGGAUGAACUGAGACGAAUGUAGGGUGAUGUUGUAUGUAGAUGCAGUGUGGUAAAGUUACUUUGUUAAGACACUGGUUAAGAAGAUAACUGUUUAAAUAUUUUCAGUUUUAUUAUUGAAUUAAUUAAAUUUGUUUUGUUUAAUGUAAUCUUCGAUAAGUAAACAAAUAAGAAAAGUUUUGAAUUUCUGGGAUCAUUUACAUGUUUCUGGAUGCGUCGUGUUGGUCUAAAAUUUCAUUCACAAUGGCCUUAAAAGGUCUUGAAAAGGUCUUAAAUUUAACUUAC
Molecule: long non-coding RNA, 1111 nt
Organism: Melanotaenia boesemani (Boeseman's rainbowfish)
Lineage: Eukaryota; Metazoa; Chordata; Actinopteri; Atheriniformes; Melanotaeniidae
Exons: 3
Source: RefSeq, a predicted model, not a curated record